Molecule: ribosomal RNA, 255 nt
Filed under: uncultured bacterium
Lineage: Bacteria
Description: partial 16S ribosomal RNA
Rfam family: Bacterial small subunit ribosomal RNA
Source: RNAcentral
UACGGAGGGUGCGAGCGUUGUCCGGAAUCAUUGGGCGUAAAGGGCGCGUAGGUGGCCCGGUCAGUCUUUGGUGAAAGCGCGGGGCUCAACCCUGCGUCGGCCAGGGAUACUGCCGCGGCUCGAGCACUGUAGAGGCAGGCGGAAUUCCGGGUGUAGCGGUGGAAUGCGUAGAGAUCCGGAAGAACACCGGUGGCGAAGGCGGCCUGCUGGGCAGUUUAGCUGACACUGAGGCGCGACAGCGUGGGAGCAAACAGG